Long non-coding RNA from Passer domesticus (house sparrow), 6248 nucleotides. RefSeq lists it as uncharacterized. The record is from RefSeq and is a predicted model, not a curated record. The transcript is spliced from 8 exons. Lineage: Eukaryota; Metazoa; Chordata; Aves; Passeriformes; Passeridae.
CAGGAGCGGGUCCCUUUGCCAGGGCAGGGGGACAUACAUCUUUAUCGCCUGUUUGCAGUCAUUUGCCGCGUUAUCGUGCAGCCAUUCGGCAUUUUACUGAAAGCAGGACAGAAAUUAUUGCGGGAAACGACAGAGGAGCUCCGGUUGUGUCGAAGUGCAACACUGAAGAGAAUGCUUCUUUCUUCAGUAAAUUAACAUAUUCCUGGUUUGGCGGGUUUCUUGCAUCCAGAGAGUGCUAUUUAAGAAAACAAGUUUUCCUCGAGCCAUCUUUGAUUUUGCCAUUAUGGCAAACAUUUAAGUAUUUAUUGAUUAAAGUUUAAUUUCUGAAAGUUACAGCUGACAUUCUGGCUUUUAUGAGUCCACAAGUAAUGAAAGAUUGUGGCCAGUGAAACCCAGCCUAGUUUGUGUGGGAGUGGCUGUGGCUAUGCUGUUGCCCGGUUUUUGUGGUUCUCUCACAAACUCUUCUCCAUCAGUUACACCAUCUUCUACACACAACAUUCUUACAGCAGUCAAAAUCAAGAUUGCAGUUGUUGGCCUGGUCUACAAAAGGGUAGUCAUGUCAGCAUUCCUGAGGGCACUUUAGUUGCUGUUGUGGAACAGGUUGGAUCUGGAAAGUCAUCUUUUCUUUCUGCUGUUCUUAAAGAAAUGGAGAAACUUGAAGAAAUGGUUCAGAGUAGAAUAAGAUUGUCCGUCUUCCCCUGCCCUUUCCACUCCUCAAUACUCCAGUUAAGCAGAACUAAUGAACAGAUAUUCAGAGGGCAUAUAGGUUAAUGUAAAAAAAAAUAUUUAAAUUUUAAUGGUGCUCAGGUUUUGGAAGGAAUUACUGGUAUUACUUCGAGGCAAAGCUGGAAUUUCAAAUUUAUUUUUAAAUUAUGUUUUAUGUGUUCAGAAAGCCCAAAUAAAACAAAAUUGUUUCCAAUUCUUUUUAGGGUUCUGUGGCAUAUGUUUCUCAGCAGGCCUGGAUUUGAAAUGACAGUUUACAGGAAAAUAUUCUCUUUGGUUCCAAUGGUUUGGUUCUAAACAGGCCAUACUACAGACUUGUUUUAGAGUCUUGUGCUUUACUGCCAGAUUUGGAACAGUUACUGAAUGGAGACCAAAAAAAGAUUGGAGAAAGGGGUGUCAAUGUAAGUGGAGGGCAGAAGCAGAGAGUGAGCCUUGCUAGAGCUGUGUGCAGCAAGGCUGACUUGUAUCUCCUGGAUGACCCUCUCCUGCUGUACAUGUACAUAUUGGAAACCAUCUUUUUGAGAAGCUAAUUGAAGCUAACCCUUCAGAUCUCCUAAAAAUCAAGGCUGGAAUUGUUGGAAGAACAGGAGCUGGAAAAUCAACACUCACAAAUUCCUUAUUUAGAUUUUUGGAGGGAUGUGAAGGCAAAAUAAUUACUGAUGGAAUUGAUAUAUCAACUAUUGGACUCCUUGACUUAAGUGGAAAUCUUAACAUCAUUCCACAGGUGAGGCAUGGUUGAGAGACAACUAUUUAUUAUUUUUUUACUAACAUAAGACAUUGGAUUUUUAGGGGAAAUUAUAACCUCUAAGUCCACAGGCUGCCAAGAGACAGAGGUACCAGUGGAAUUUUGGCAAUUAAAUGGAAGAAACUUCAAAACAUGGGGACCACAAAUAUGACAUUAAGUUUUAUAUGUUGUGUUUAGUUUAACAGUCUUAGCUAGAAUAGCUACAUAUGGUGUUUUCAAAAUCCACCUGAGGACUUUUUAACUAGGUUCAACUAUGUUUGAAGCCUGUAGGGAAUAAAGUGGUGUAUACACGAGUUAUAUAUUAUGUAUUUAAACCAAUCUGCUGUGAUCUGUCAUGUAGAGCUUACUUUUUACUUCAGAAGAGGGUGGGAAACUCAAGAUUAGGUCAUAUAUUAUUAGGAUUGUCUUCAGGUGGUAUAUGUUGAAAUGCUCCAGUAUAAAGUAAAACCUAGGACACAAAUUGAAUGGUCACCUGAAGUCUUUGCACAUUCCCUGAAUGCCAUUCAUACAAACAUUUUUGUGAAUGGAUGUUAGCACUGAUUGCAAUUAAUUUAUCUGACGUUUUUAAAAGGGAGGCUUUGGUUUUUUCCUAGCCUUUUAGGAGCCUUAACCUUGGUAAUAUUUCCUGUGUGUAUCUACCCACAGACCAUGCGUAGAGAUGAUUCCAAUAUUUACACCAAAACAGAUUGAGUCUUUCCAAGAAAGAGAUGAUUAAAAGAAAAUACCUGAAGAUUCCUGCAAAUUCUUGGCUGCUUUUCCUUUGAGAACUGUACUUGGUUAGGGGAAUGGAAAAUUCACCAUUUUUAAUCAUAAUUUCUAAUUUUGAUAUAGCUUUUUGGUGUAACUAUAUUCUCAAAAAUGAGACUACAAGACCAAAAUUGAUUAUUCCACAGGUCUUCAGAACACAAUUCGUACACAUUUGGUUGUAACAUCUGUCUUGUUUUAAGAAGGUAAUGCUCUACAAAUCUGAACCACAUCUGACAGUUGUGAAUUACACAGUAUUUUCUCAACUGCAGUUGUGAGUCUGAUUUACUGUGGAUGGAGUAUAUUGGAUCCACAUCCAGACAACUGAACUGAGAGGAACCCAAUAGUGCAGUGACCUUACAGGCUGGGUUCAGAAUAGAACUGAAAGGUGAAAAAAGGGAGUCUGAAGCUUGUGAAGAGUAGGUGCAGUCUGGAGUGUUGAACUGCAUAGGUCAGGAGAGUGGAUGAAGGUAAAAAUCUGGGACAGAAACAAGGGCAUGGCAAAUACCAAAGCUGACUGUGUGCACGUAGCUUCUUCAGGUCAGCCAAAUACACCUCAUACAAACAGCUUUUAAGAAUCACAUUAAAGUACAACAAAAUAAUUUAAUGUUGUUCCAGUGCAAGUAAAAUGAAGUUUAAAUGAAGAACAGGCACAAGGUCUGCUACCACUUCAACUGUCCUGUUUGGUCACUGAGUUCCCUCAAAACUGUCACUGUCCUGUUUGCAUGUGACUGUUGUUGGCCUCUUAUGCCUGGGUCACGCCACUGUGACUGCACUUGGUCAAGGUGUCUGUUCAUCUCUAGGAGCAUUAGUUCAGUCUGUAAAUCUUUGUAGGUAUUCUUGUUGAUGAAUAUGUCGUCUUUCCUAUAGGAAAUUAAGGAUAUUUAAAUUAGAAUCAUAGCCUUUUAAUUUCUCUUAUCAGUGUUCAUGAAUGUAGUCUCAAGUGCUUCACAAACCUUAAUAAUAAUUCAUGUGCUGUGGCAGUUGCCAGGUGCUGGGCAGGUCUUUAGUCAGCCACAAAACCAGAGCACAGAGAAUGCACAAGAAAUCUCUUGCCCUUUAUGUUUCACCUUAAUGAAGAACUUAGCUCACAGAGACUGCACACAAUUUUUGUCCUCCAUUCACCAGCUUCAAACUGUUAAAAUUUCCCUUGCAAAGAUCCAUUCCCAAGAUUAUUUGUCUUAGUUCCUUCUAUUAAUGUAAGGAUUUAUGACAGCCCAUUUUAGGAUCAUGUCAGAAUUGUGCAUUCACAUUCUGCUGCUAUUUGGGACCCCAUCUUGUUUUCUGGGACAGUGCAGUCAAAUCUGGAUCCACUUGGAAAACACUCUGAUCUUGAACUGUGGGAGGUGCUGGAAUUAUGUGACUUAAAGGAUUUUGUCCACUCUCUGCCAAAGAAGCUCCCCCAUGAGAUUUCAGAAGGUGGUGAAAAUCUCAGGUACAUAAUCAAGUGCUAAUGCUGUUAUUUUCCAGUACUGUAAAACUAUGUGGUCCUUCCAAGGAAUUUACUUCAAAAGCUAUCAGGAUGGAAAUGACACCUCUCCUGUCAUUCUCAGUAGAACUAUUCUGGUAGUGCAAAUUUCUUUGAGGUGACCAACUGGUCACAGUGGUAUAAAUUCUGAUGGCCUGUGCCAUCAGAAGCAAAGGGAACAGACUAUUUUCAGCUCAAGUGUAUAAGUAAGUGUGAAGAAGGGGGGCGUGGUGUUGCAAUUCAUGCAGCACCUCAUUAAAUUUUGGUAGAAAAGUGCUUAUUUAUUUAAACUUAAAAAAAUAAAUCAAACCAGAAAAAAAACAACAGAAAACAAUGAAUAAAAAAAACCCCAGCAAAUUCGAAACCCACCAAAGUGCAGAGAGCUUAUUCUUUUGUUCUAUUUGCUUAAGCAAAACAACUCAGUUUUAACUUUGAAACAUUAACCCAUAGUAAGGAGGGUGACACUUGAAAUAAAAGAACUCUAAACUGAGGUGACAAAUAUUGAAGCUUUCAGCAGCAAAGGGACAGGUCUUAAAUAGUGUACUGAGUAUAAACCUGAAUUUUUCAGACAGAUAAUUUUCAGGAGGACAUUUCCUGAAGGUGCAUACUACAGCUAACAUGUAGAAGUAUCCAAACUGUUACACUGAACAUUACUAAAAAGUGGUUCAGCAUUCAAUCAGGCUGAUUCCUAGUGCCCACUAUAAUGUGAAUAUAAAACUGAAGACUGGGUUUAAGAUACAAAGUUCAGCCAUGGGUGUUGAAGAGUCCUACUUUAACUACCAUUGAUAUGUUGAAGAAGAAGAAACAAAAUUCCAAAGCAGGAUGAACAUAUUUCAGUAGUCUUUUUAGAAGCAUAAAGUAUUGUUAGGAAAGAAGUACAGACAUGCUCCACGGUAAUCUCAGCUUUAUCUUGUGCUCUCUUUCCUUUGUGUCCCUGGCUUGCCCUUCUCAAAUGUAUUUUUAACAGUGCUGGGCAGAGACAGCUGGUCUGUCUGGCCUGUGCUCUGCUAUGGAAGACAAAAAUCUGGUUCUAGAUGAGGUGACAGCUUCUGUUGACAUGGAAACAGAUAACUUUGUGCAGUCCACCAUCAAAGGAGUGUUUCACAACUGUACGGUGUUAACUACAGCCCACAGGUUACACACAGUCAUGGAUUCAGAGUGCUUGUUCUGGAUGCAUGAAGGAUUCUAGAAUAUGAUACACCACAGACUCUGUUACAGUGAAAAAGUGCCUUUUCUGAAAUGGUUGCAGAGGCCGGGAUAAGAAGCUAGCUUCAGAAUGCAGCUGGGAGAGCUGCAGACUGAGCAAUGGCAAAGCCUGAGAGAAAAGAAAAUGCUGGACUAGUGUCAGCAAAGCCAUUCCUUCUCUUCCAGCAUGCUGUACCCCUCAUAUUUGACUAUAACUUCUGAAAAGAGGGUGCAGUGGAGGCAGAAGCAGCAGGAAAUGCCCCUGCUGUUUCUGUGCAAAGCAAACCCCCUAACAGGCUUAGGGUGGGCAGGGAAAGGCACUUUUGCCUUAAGCACAUCAGCCAGGCUCUGCAGCCUCUCCUCUCCUCACACACCUGAUGUUGGAGACUCGCUCCAGGAAACCAGGAAGGGCCACUUGGCUGAGUGCAGAACUGUCUCAACCCACCAAACACCAGGGCAACAGCCAGGACAAAGCCAUGUGCUAGCUCUGCAGCUUGGCACACACCCCUGACCUUCCUCCUCCAAACAGGAAUUCCCUGAGCUUCAUUGGUAUUUGGGAAUUGGGUUCCAGUCUUGCCAUGUGGGACUGCUCAUAGGAAGAGUGGGAUAGGCAGGGGACCAGAGCAGUCCUGAAGAAUGAGGCUCAUAAGGGGCCAGGACUCCAUCAUUCCCUCUAACAGGAAGGAGCAUGGAGCAGAACCUGCUUAUGCCCUUCUCCCACUUCAUUCCCCACAGCACUCAAAAAUCCCACAUGCACCACCCUCCCAGGAGCUGCUUCCCUCAGCCCUGCCUGUUGCCUUGCUCUACACUUUCCUGUAGUAUCACAGAGAAACUAGAAAGAAGUUGAGGAGGAACUCUCCCCUUCCCUCACAGGAAGAGACACGUUUCUGCUUUUUGCCAGCUUUGAAACAUUUUUUUAAAUACUGUAAUUGUUCAGGCUCUGCACACUUCACAGCUCCCCAAGACAACGCAGAUGUACAAACUCACAGCUGACACAACCUCAUCUUCUACACUUCAAGGGAGUUUGAGGAAGACCGAAUUUCCUUGAGAAAGUGAAAGAAGACAGAUCCAAGGGAUAGAAAUUGUUUUAUUAAAAAAAUCUAAAAGGUUAUUUAUAAAAUGCAUUUCAUCAUCUGCACUGGGAUACAAUUAGGGAACACACAAUUGUUGAGGCCUCUUGAUGCUUUAGGAAUUUCAACUCAUCAAACAAGCCUUAGCUAGAGAAAUUGGUUACACACCUACCACCACAGGCAAUCGUAAGGAUUACAGAAAGAUUUCAUCCUUCAAGUAUCAACUUUUUUACAGAAAGAUUUUUGGUAAGCAGCCCAUGUGCAUACCUGGAAAUAUCCACUUACUGCAGUGGACUCAUCUUUAAAAUUUGUU